GUUAACAUUUUCCGUAAAUUUAAGAUAAAAUCAUUGUUCAGUGAUUUGUGAUCACAUAAAUUAUUCAUCGUGCAAUAUCUGUAUUAUUACAAUCUAAUGUUCGUGGCUCAUUUUAUCAUCUGGAAAGUGGUGCCUCCUAGACUAGACCGUAUAUAUCAAACCCAAUUCGAUGAAAUUGAAUAAACGCGCCAACAAUUCCAUCCAUCCAGAUCCAGAAAAACAUUACAGAACCAACGUGAUUUAGUUUUUGAGCUAGCGUUGUAUACAAU
Anopheles coluzzii is the source of this 269-nucleotide long non-coding RNA. RefSeq lists it as uncharacterized. The transcript has 3 exons. NCBI's taxonomy places the organism in Eukaryota, Metazoa, Arthropoda, Insecta, Diptera, Culicidae. The record is from RefSeq and is a predicted model, not a curated record.